UGAUUCUAAAAAUACUUGAGGGAAGAGGAGAUUGUUGUAUUGCAACAGGCCUGGCUUAUUACAUGACUCGGUUAGGAAACAGAAUCGGCCCUACCUACUAAUUGCAACACUUAAACAAAUAACAGAGGCAAGUUCAGUUUUAUUUAUAUUGCCUAAGGCUUGCCUAAGUGUUUAUGUGAGACCUUAGAAGCAUGGUAUCUAUUACCGAUCAUGAAUGUAGCCACAACUUAAAAUAGAUGAUUUGAAACCUUGCAAGCAUGUUUGCUAAAUCGUGUUAACCAGUUACUUAAGCGCUCGUUCAAAUAGACUGG
RNAcentral lists this long non-coding RNA (311 nucleotides) under Nicotiana benthamiana. RNAcentral's name for it is "long non-coding RNA (NBEN_LNC035367)". The record is from RNAcentral. Lineage: Eukaryota; Viridiplantae; Streptophyta; Magnoliopsida; Solanales; Solanaceae.